Molecule: small nucleolar RNA, 132 nt
Filed under: Chinchilla lanigera (long-tailed chinchilla)
Lineage: Eukaryota; Metazoa; Chordata; Mammalia; Rodentia; Chinchillidae
Description: Small nucleolar RNA SNORA38 (ENSCLAG00000018873.1)
Rfam family: Small nucleolar RNA SNORA38
About the family: ACA38 is a member of the H/ACA class of snoRNA that guide the sites of modification of uridines to pseudouridines.
Source: Rfam by way of RNAcentral
CCCUCCUACAAAGGUGUGUCUUUGUUUCCUUGUCUUUGGGCAUGUAAAACUUGGAGGCAGAAAUAUUGUGGAUUUGGAGACAUCUGGGGCCAGCUUGCCCCCCGCAGGCUCAAGAUCAACCAUCUCACAUAA